Molecule: ribosomal RNA, 677 nt
Filed under: Ochronectria thailandica
Lineage: Eukaryota; Fungi; Ascomycota; Sordariomycetes; Hypocreales; Bionectriaceae
Description: eukaryotic LSU rRNA
Rfam family: Eukaryotic large subunit ribosomal RNA
Source: RNAcentral
CAUAGAGGGUGAGAGCCCCGUCUAGUUGGUCGCCGCGCCUCUGUGAAACUCCUUCGACGAGUCGAGUAGUUUGGGAAUGCUGCUCAAAAUGGGAGGUAUACGUCUUCUAAAGCUAAAUACCGGCCAGAGACCGAUAGCGCACAAGUAGAGUGAUCGAAAGAUGAAAAGCACUUUGAAAAGAGGGUUAAAUAGUACGUGAAAUUGUUGAAAGGGAAGCGCUCAUGACCAGACUUGGGCCGGUUGAUCAUCCAUCGUUCUCGGUGGUGCACUCUGCCGGUCCAGGCCAGCAUCAGUUUGCCCUGGGGGAUAAAGGCUUCGGGAAUGUGGCUCCCUCGGGAGUGUUAUAGCCCGUUGCGUAAUACCCUGCGGCAGACUGAGGUCCGCGCUCUGCAAGGAUGCUGGCGUAAUGGUCAUCAGCGACCCGUCUUGAAACACGGACCAAGGAGUCGUCUUCGUAUGCGAGUGUUCGGGUGUCAAACCCCUACGCGUAAUGAAAGUGAACGUAGGAGAGAGCUUCGGCGCAUCUCCGACCGAUCCUGAUGUUCUCGGAUGGAUUUGAGUAAGAGCAUACGGGGCCGGACCCGAAAGAAGGUGAACUAUGCCUGUAUAGGGUGAAGCCAGAGGAAACUCUGGUGGAGGCUCGCAGCGGUUCUGACGUGCAAAUCGAUCGUCAAAUA